RNAcentral lists this ribosomal RNA (253 nucleotides) under uncultured bacterium. RNAcentral's name for it is "partial 16S ribosomal RNA". It matches the Rfam family "Bacterial small subunit ribosomal RNA", at positions 524 to 776 of the family's 1533-position model. The record is from RNAcentral.
UACGUAGGGACCGAGCGUUGUCCGGAAUUAUUGGGCGUAAAGAGCUCGUAGGCGGUCUGUCGCGUCUGCUGUGAAAACUCGGGGCUUAACCCCGGGCCUGCAGUGGGUACGGGCAGACUAGAGUGCGGUAGGGGAGAACGGAAUUCCUGGUGUAGCGGUGAAAUGCGCAGAUAUCAGGAGGAACACCGGUGGCAAAGGCGGUUCUCUGGGCCUUACCUGACGCUGAGGAGCGAAAGCGUGGGGAGCAAACAGG